Molecule: small RNA, 377 nt
Filed under: Histoplasma capsulatum
Lineage: Eukaryota; Fungi; Ascomycota; Eurotiomycetes; Onygenales; Ajellomycetaceae
Also listed under: 1 other name
Description: hypothetical RNA
Source: RNAcentral
CUGAUGAUAUUAUUAGUAUGCAGUGCAGUUAUCCCGGAGAGGAUACGCAAUCACUUGUCCCCUGAUACUCUUGUUAUGGCUGUGCUGAGGAUUCAACUUUGACGAUAUUAUGCCUUGUGGUCAUAAUACCUGAAUUUCUGAUAAAUGGUCUCUCUCUCUCUCUCUCUCUCUCUCUCUCUAUUUUGUUUUUCUUUCUUUUCUGGCCAGGUGGCGGGAAUGUAUGUAUUAUUUCUAUUCACUCUGUACGGAGCUUGUGAACAACACCGCGGUAUGACUCACACAUCUUGGUGGGUUAUCUAAUAUCUGAGAACUGGCUGAGAGAUCUUUUGAGAACUGUUUGACAGUCAACAAAGAAGCAGCAGACCCUAUAAGCCAUU